This 2864-nucleotide long non-coding RNA is filed under the name Hordeum vulgare. Its description in RNAcentral is "long non-coding RNA (HVUL_LNC015850)". The record is from RNAcentral. Lineage: Eukaryota; Viridiplantae; Streptophyta; Magnoliopsida; Poales; Poaceae.
AGCACAUCUCGUCAUUUUGCAAGAAUGGAUAUCGAUACAAGUACAUGUACUGAAGAGAUGAGUAUAUGGAAUUGGCUUACACUUGCCACAAGCUACAUCAAGUUCACAUCAAUAGAACAAUAUACAAUCAUCAUGACCAAGAGCAGGGUCCGACUAUGGACCAAAACGAACGACAAAAGAACGACGUCCAUCCUUGCUAUCCCAGGUUACCGGCCUGUAACCCAUCCUAGAUCGAUGAUGAAGAAGAAAAACUUCAAAUAACACAAUCAUCGCGCUCACAUCUUAAUAUCACUUUACCUGUACCUGCAACUGGUGUUGUAGUAAUCUGUGAGCCACAGGUAACUCAACAAUCUCAUUUCCAAAGGUAUCAAGACUAGCAAAGCUUAAUGGGUGAGGUAUGGUUAAGUGGUGAGGCUGCAGCAAGUGACUAAGCAUUUAUUUGAGGUGGAUAACUUAUGAGUACAAAAACAAAAGAGGGGGAUGAUCUACGCAUAGAGGAUGUGAACUACUGAUGAUCAAACGAAUGAUCCUGGACAACUACUUACGUCAAACAUAACCCCAUCAUGUCCUUGAUCGGAGAAGGAGCUCACGAAAGAGACAUUCGCGGUUAUGCACUCAGUUGUCAAGUUUUAAUUAAGUUUACUUGAAGUUAUCUAGAACCGAAUGUUAAACUAAGUUCCCAAGUUGCCACAUCAUCGCGGGAACAGCUUUACAAAAGAUUUAACCCUGCAGGGAUGCUCCAAAUAGGCCAUCACAAACUACCACACACUACGCCGGAAUGACCUUGAUUAGGAAAACCCGUGAUCUCCUCGGGUUCCUAUUAGGAAACCUCAUCCUCGAGAAGUAUCCUCGGAAUCCAUGCACGAGACGCUCGAGAAAGGUAAAAGAAGUCCAGCAAAGCCGCCCGACGUGUUGACGAUCCCGAUAGGAACCACGUAUCUCGUUCUCAGGACACGACGGAUGGCCGAAGCAUACGGUAGCCUGAUAGACAUCUCCCGAGUUGCCCCGGAUUGACCCCGCACGGUGCUCUGUUUUGGACUGGCACCAGCAGCACGGGCCCCUGUAUUAUGUUAAAUUACUCCUUGUGUUCAUGACGCCCUAUGUUGUUUAGUAUUAUUAUGUUGGACAAAUAGAGUACCAAUGUUGGGCCUUGCCAGACGAGUUUUAUCCCAAAACGAAAAUCUAGGGGGUUUCCAUAACAAGCCAAGCAUGUUAGGAGCGCUCAUUUAUGGAACAUAACACCGGUAGCCGAAACUAAGGCGAUAAAGGUGGAACAAAACGUCAGGCUAGAAGGCAAAGCCUUCCAACUUUACCAAGUAUAUAGGUGCAUUGGAUUAAUUGGCAAUAAUCUGGUGAUAUAACAAGAAACUCAUGUUGGUACAUGGAAGCAACUGCACCUGCAACGAGCAACGCUAUGAAAAGGUUGAGCAAGUGGUAACUUAGCCAAACAAGGUUUGCUGGUCAGUGGAGAGAUUAGAGGUUUUCAUGGCAAUGUUGGGAGGCUGGUAUUUAACAGGUGAUAAACAGCGAGACAUAGCAAAAUAAACAAGACAACUAGCAUGACAAUGAUAGUAAUGGUAUCUAGGGAAAUGAUCAUAUUUCUGUGAUCUAGCUUGGAAGAAGAAUGAAUCCGUGAAGCAAACGAACCAACGUAGUCGAACAAAUCCUCACAUUCCGACACGCUUGCCGAACUCUAUCGAGACGAAGCAAACCGGAAACAAGAAUUAACACACGAUAUUCACCACAAAAAAAACACGAUAUGACGAACCAAUUAAUAUGAUGCAUGUCCAUGUCAAUUUUGAAAGGCAUGAUAUGGUAAUUCACAGCAAUCAAAAACUACACAUUAAAUGAAGCUCAAUAUGCAACGAGUUGCAUAUUGACAAAACUCCACAUUUCAAUUAUUUAGUUCGCUCCCGUUUAGGUACACGGCAAUAUUAAAUGUUGUUUAAAAAUGUCAAGGGGUGAAGCAUAUGAUUCUACAUAGCAUUCUAGUCGGUUUACAUCUUAGAACAUUUGACUGGAGCUACGCUCUACCAGAUACGUGCAACACAAUAUACUAUGUCAUGGAUGCAAGACACAUGCAAAUGACAACCACGACACAUUCCAGUUCCGAUAACUCGAUCAGAUACCAAUACAAAUGAAUUGAGAGUGUGAGCGUGCCUAAAAAUGAUGGAUGAUCCCAGUUACCGAGUUCCAUGCGCCGAAGGCAUGAAUAUGGAUAUACAUGCAACUAACAUUUCAUCUAGGAAAUGUCGAACUCGAAACUCAUACAACAAUACAAAAUCUACAGAGCUGAAAUAAAAUAAAAUAUGCAGGGCCCGAAGCAUCAUAGUGCACCGGUCGAGAAGUAGAUUAGGCCCAAGGAACUGAGGGUGUGCAUUUAGACAAAACAUGACAAAGUAAAAUUGUCGAACUCGGCACCUCGAGCUUCAAAGUUGGCUGCUCUAGCCAACUGGGAUACCGAUAUGCUCGUGGUGAAAAGUGGUGGUUAAUCUAAAUAAGCUCAACAACCCGGACGGACCUAGUCAAAAGAAACAGAGAUCAAAUUCGGAUGAGACAACUUACAACUGGGAAUGAAGAGGCCGGCGGCCAUGACUAUGCUAGUAGGCCCGAGGGAGUCGGCCCUCCGGGUCUGGUGGCUGGGGACAAACAUAUAGGCUGCCGGACGGGGCAGUCUAGGAGUCCUGAAUGUGCGGACGCUACGAGCGCGUUCGCUACGCUGGGGCUCCUACUCGAUGCACAGAGCUGCACAGAAUGCUCUGAGAUGCAGGUGAGCGAAUGUUGCGGGCGAUCUGGGGCUUGGGCACGGGAAUGAUGCAGGGGCAAACGGAGGCGACCGAAGUCUACGCGGGAUCGAGGCCCAC